Molecule: ribosomal RNA, 480 nt
Filed under: uncultured bacterium
Lineage: Bacteria
Description: SSU rRNA
Rfam family: Bacterial small subunit ribosomal RNA
Source: RNAcentral
AGGACGAACGCUGGCGGCGUGCCUAACACAUGCAAGUGGAGCGACGAACCAGGCUUCGGCCUGGGGCAGAGCCGCGAACGGGUGAGUAACACGUGGGUAACCUGCCCUGAUGAUUGGGACAACCCGAGGAAACUCGGGCUAAUACCGAAUGUGCCCUCCGGCCUCAAGGCCGCUGGGGAAAGGAGCUUCGGCCUCCGCAUCGGGAUGGGCCCGCGGCCCAUUAGCUUGUUGGUGAGGUAACGGCUCACCAAGGCAACGAUGGGUAGCUGGUCUGAGAGGACGAUCAGCCACACUGGGACUGAGACACGGCCCAGACUCCUACGGGAGGCAGCAGUGGGGAAUCUUGCGCAAUGCGCGAAAGCGUGACGCAGCAACGCCGCGUGGGUGAUGAAGGCCCUAGGGUUGUAAAGCCCUUUCGGCGGGGAAGAUAAUGACGGUACCCGCAGAAGAAGCCCCGGCUAACUUCGUGCCAGCAGCCGC